UCCCUCCAGAUCCCUUUCCCAUGAGAUCUGGAUACCGAUCUUGUGGUCGUAAAAGGAGGAAAAGUAACAUUCCCACUGGUCUCAGCCUCUGUGCAGGUGCAUCCUGCUCCGAGAGGGGCCAGUGGGAAGACAGGC
This 135-nucleotide small nucleolar RNA is filed under the name Acanthisitta chloris (rifleman). RNAcentral describes it as "Small nucleolar RNA SNORA61". It matches the Rfam family "Small nucleolar RNA SNORA61". From Rfam's summary of the family: ACA61 is a member of the H/ACA class of snoRNA that guide the sites of modification of uridines to pseudouridines. Lineage: Eukaryota; Metazoa; Chordata; Aves; Passeriformes; Acanthisittidae. The record is from Rfam by way of RNAcentral.